GCCCUGGGGGCACAACAGUUAAGCAUUUGGCUGCUAACCAAAAGGUUGGCGGUUCAAACCCACCCAGAGGCU
This 72-nucleotide transfer RNA is filed under the name Loxodonta africana (African savanna elephant). It matches the Rfam family "tRNA". Rfam says of the family: Transfer RNA (tRNA) molecules are approximately 80 nucleotides in length. Their secondary structure includes four short double-helical elements and three loops (D, anti-codon, and T loops). Further hydrogen bonds mediate the characteristic L-shaped molecular structure. tRNAs have two regions of fundamental functional importance: the anti-codon, which is responsible for specific mRNA codon recognition, and the 3' end, to which the tRNAs corresponding amino acid is attached (by aminoacyl-tRNA synthetases). tRNAs cope with the degeneracy of the genetic code in two manners: having more than one tRNA (with a specific anti-codon) for a particular amino acid; and 'wobble' base-pairing, i.e. permitting non-standard base-pairing at the 3rd anti-codon position. The record is from Rfam by way of RNAcentral. Lineage: Eukaryota; Metazoa; Chordata; Mammalia; Proboscidea; Elephantidae.